CCUACGGGUGGCAGCAGUGGGGAAUAUUGGGCAAUGGGCGCAAGCCUGACCCAGCAACGCCGCGUGAAGGAAGAAGGCUCUCGGGUUGUAAACUUCUUUUAUCAGGGACGAAGCAAGUGACGGUACCUGAUGAAUAAGCCACGGCUAACUACGUGCCAGCAGCCGCGGUAAUACGUAGGUGGCAAGCGUUAUCCGGAUUUACUGGGUGUAAAGGGCGUGUAGGCGGGAAAGCAAGACAGAUGUGAAAACCAUGGGCUCAACCUGUGGACUGCCUUUGAAACUGUUUUUCUUGAGUAUUGGAGAGGAAGACGGAAUACCUAGUGUAGAGGUGAAAUGCGUAGAUAUUAGGAGGAACACCAGUGGCGAAGGCGGUCUGCUGGACAUCAACUGACGCUGAGGCGCGAAAGCGUGGGGAGCAAACAGGAUUAGAUACCCGAGUAGUC
This 443-nucleotide ribosomal RNA is filed under the name uncultured bacterium. RNAcentral's name for it is "partial 16S ribosomal RNA". It matches the Rfam family "Bacterial small subunit ribosomal RNA", at positions 338 to 795 of the family's 1533-position model. The record is from RNAcentral.